This 443-nucleotide ribosomal RNA is filed under the name uncultured bacterium. Its description in RNAcentral is "partial 16S ribosomal RNA". It matches the Rfam family "Bacterial small subunit ribosomal RNA", at positions 338 to 795 of the family's 1533-position model. The record is from RNAcentral.
CCUACGGGAGGCUGCAGUGGGGAAUAUUGGGCAAUGGGCGCAAGCCUGACCCAGCAACGCCGCGUGAAGGAAGAAGGCUUUCGGGUUGUAAACCUCUUUUUUCAGGGACGAAGCAAGUGACGGUACCUGACGAAUAAGCCACGGCUAACUACGGGCCAGCGGCCGCGGGAAUACGUAGGUGGCAAGCGUUAUCCGGAUUUACUGGGUGUAAAGGGCGUGUAGGCGGGACUGCAAGUCAGAUGUGAAAACCACGGGCUCAACCUGUGUCUUGGAUUUGAAACUGUAGUUCUUGAGUACUGGAGAGGCAGACGGAAUGCCUAGUGUAGCGGUGAAAUGCGUAGAUAUUAGGAGGAACACCAGUGGCGAAGGCGGUCUGCUGGACAGCAACUGACGCUGAGGCGCGAAAGCGUGGGGAGCAAACAGGAUUAGAUACCCCAGUAGUC